Molecule: ribosomal RNA, 465 nt
Filed under: uncultured bacterium
Lineage: Bacteria
Description: partial 16S ribosomal RNA
Rfam family: Bacterial small subunit ribosomal RNA
Source: RNAcentral
GACGAACGCUGGCGGCGUGCUUAACACAUGCAAGUCGAACGGAAAGGCCCUGCUUGCAGGGUACUCGAGUGGCGAACGGGUGAGUAACACGUGGGUGAUCUGCCCUGCACUUCGGGAUAAGCCUGGGAAACUGGGUCUAAUACCGGAUAGGAGCCAUUUUUAGUGUGAUGGUUGGAAAGUUUUUUCGGUGUAGGAUGAGCUCGCGGCCUAUCAGCUUGUUGGUGGGGUAAUGGCCUACCAAGGCGGCGACGGGUAGCUGGCCUGAGAGGGUGGACGGCCACAUUGGGACUGAGAUACGGCCCAGACUCCUACGGGAGGCAGCAGUGGGGAAUAUUGCACAAUGGGCGCAAGCCUGAUGCAGCGACGCCGCGGGGGGGAUGACGGACUUCGGGUUGUAAACUCCUUUCGCUAGGGACGAAGCUUUUUGUGACGGUACCUAGAUAAGAAGCACCGGCUAACUACGUG